GCAACAAACUGAAUCGGAGCGCGUUGCAUUCUCACUUCAAGUUCACUGCGCGUGCAUCGUUAGCCCUGACUGACAUUUGGACCGCUCGCGUUUGUAUUCCAGAGUGCCGGCUUCCACCACAAUGAAACAACGACGAUGUUUGUACUAAAACAUGAUUGAACAGGAGAGCGAGAGAGUGCGGUCGAGAAAUCAAUGGCUACUACGACUAGCGCGUACACACACCCAUGCAACACACACUCCCAGUACCGCUACUCGUUGGUCGACGUCGCGACGCUCUCGUCGGAAGGGGAAAGAAGUGUGCGUGCAAAGAACCCGUGCCGCCUGCUGCGAUGGUAUUGGUGCGCUCGUCGUAAUACACAGGGCUCAAAACACACGCGCUCGCGAACGGUCGUUCACCCCGCGGGGUCUUCCAUAUAUCGUACAGUCAUUUCUCUCAUCAUAGUUGAUCAAACGGUCGCAACUUUUUCAUAGUCCUCGACUUCCCUCAAGCACUCGACUUUAACUUCUAAUGUUUAUCGUCGCCGGAAAAGUCGUCGUCGGUUCUGUCCGUGCUGUCAUACGCGUCUGGUCCGCGGGUUGCGCCUCGUCGUCGUCGUCGGUUCCCGGCCAUCGGUCACCGGUUCCCUAAGGGGAGUUGUUCGGGCCUCACCUGCUGUAAAUUUUCGCUCUUUUUUCGGCCGUGUUCCGUGUUCAAGUAUUUCUGCAGUCGCGAGGAGAAGUCGGGAUUGUUCCAGAACCGUUUUAUCCCUGUGGUGGCCCCAACUUGGAUGGUUCCGGCCAGCACCAUGAUAAGAAUUUGGAGUGAAGGAACCCCACCGUGGUGGGGUGACCGCACAGCCUACUGCUGAGCUGUGUCGUCGGUGAAGGAAAAUCUGAAAAGGGGAAAAAGUGAAGAAUAUUACUGCCACCUCUGAAAAGAGGAAAAUAAGAUUGCAAUAAAAGUGUACUCCAUAUGUUGUAGUAAUAAAAUAAAAGAAUAAAAGUUAAGCAAUAUUCGUGAAAUAAAGAGAAUAGAUUGAAGAAAAAAUAACAAAUAAAAGGACUGUUCAAAAGUAAGUUGCGAAAUUCAAAACAAGUGAAGUUCUGUGCCAUUCAUUGCGAAAACUGAACAGGUGAAGAAAGGAAAACAAAAGAAAUAGAAACAGAAAAUCGCCUGCCCAACAAAUCUGAGUGUGUGUAACUUUUGGAAUUUUGGGGACACUCGUGGCGAAAUAAAUCGGAUUACUAAAAUUGCUGCUGCUGCUGGAGCAAGGCGUGAUGAUUGCCUGAUGGUCAAGUAAACGGUCAAACGAUCAAGUGACAGGUGCGUGAAUUUGUUAUUUCGGGAAAGCCGCAGGGGUAUGAAAUUUGUACAAAAAGUGCAGUGUGUCGCAGUGCGAAGAAUGCUUUUCCUGUACAGCCAGCUAUUCGUACCGUAAGGAAGGUUUGAGAGAAUGAAAAAAUGCUAAAGGAAGAAUAAUAAAAAGGAAGUGAAUGAAUUAAGAAGGUGAUUAAAAUAACCGAAAGGAAGAACUAGUGCAUAAAACGGUGUCCCCCAUUCCCCCAGUUUUUACAGUUUUCCUGCAGUGUGUUUUUGGUGAAAUUUGCAAAAAGAAAGAAGACAGAAAAAAAGUUGCGAUUGCUGAACCUGAAUUCAAAAACCGUGACUGGACACUCUCUUCCUAGAAUGGCCAACGAUAAUGGCUAACUCCAGCGAUUCAAGGUACAUCACCCGAGCCGGCGAAUUAAAGAGACAACCGGACAAAAUGUUGCCGAAUUUCUUGAUAAGGUAAUUUCACACAAACGGUGACAUUUGCGCUGCCAGAUGAACUGCAGAAAGCCUACCAUUUCCGGGUGAAGUGGCACACGAUUCCGAGCUGUGGUCUUCCUGAUACAAAUACCAACCCUCGGCUACCUCUUGCCACCCAGAUUAAGUCACGCGAGAUUCCAAAUGACAUGAGUGAUGGUCCAGUUGCACUUCUACUGCAACUUCCAACUACUAUUGAACUUCCUGAUAGAUAUCCCUCUCACGGUGGGGUCGCUGCACCGAUUACAUAAAUAAAAUCCCCUCAACCUCACCUUCUCCCCCAAGUCAUUCGCGCGCGAUUAUGCUGCCAUCGGAAUUGACGUGCAAACUCCCAUCAAACGGCAGCGGGAGGUUGCCAUUUCAAGCUUAAAGUUGAUCGUGAGAAGAAGAAGAAAAAUGCGAAAAGCAAAGCAUCAAAAUACCACAAACCCAGCAAUAACAACAGCAAACUUGGUGAAGAAGAGAAGAAAAAAAUGUCGGUAAAGAAAGAGGAAAAAUAAGCGAAGUAAACACGACAGGCGAAAUAAAAGUAAAAACCUCGGAACGGGAAGAGAAAGUUGAUGAUCUUUAUCUCGCGCUCCGGUCCGGACCGCUGCCGCCGCCGUCACAAGAGAGCUCCACGUAAAACACUUCCUCUUUCGGAUUUUGCACGCCAUGGUUUUGCGAUCGUGAGGGACCGCUGGAUGAAGCAUGGAGUUCAAGCUUGAGUUUGACAGGGU
Molecule: long non-coding RNA, 2505 nt
Organism: Culex pipiens pallens (northern house mosquito)
Lineage: Eukaryota; Metazoa; Arthropoda; Insecta; Diptera; Culicidae
Exons: 4
Source: RefSeq, a predicted model, not a curated record